This 426-nucleotide ribosomal RNA is filed under the name uncultured bacterium. RNAcentral describes it as "bacterial SSU rRNA". It matches the Rfam family "Bacterial small subunit ribosomal RNA", at positions 354 to 796 of the family's 1533-position model. The record is from RNAcentral.
GUGAGGAAUUUUCCGCAAUGGGCGAAAACCUGACGGAGCAAUGCCGCGUGAAGGAUGAAGGCCUAUGGGUUGUAAACUUCUUUUCUCAGAAAAGAAUUAUGACGGUAUCUGAGGAAUAAGCAUCGGCUAACUCUGUGCCAGCAGCCGCGGUAAGACAGAGGAUGCAAGCGUUAUCCGGAAUGAUUGGGCGUAAAGCGUCUGUAGGUUGUUUAAAAAGUAUUCUGUCAAAGAUUAGGGCUUAACCCUAGAUAGGCAGAAUAAACUUUUAAGCUAGAGUUUGGUAGAGGCAGAGGGAAUUCCCGGUGGAGCGGUGAAAUGCGUAGAUAUCGGGAGGAACACCAAAGGCGAAGGCACUCUGCUGGGCCAAUACUAACACUGAGAGACGAAAGCGAGGGGAGCAAAUGGGAUUAGAAACCCGUGUAGUCC